GACGAACGCUGGCGGCGCGCUUAACACAUGCAAGUCGAACGGAAAGGCCUGCUUUCCCUUGUGGAUUGCGGGUACUCGAGUGGCGAACGGGUGAGUAACACGUGAGUGAUCUGCCCCCAACUUGGGUAUAAGCCUGGGAAACUGGGUCUAAUUCCCGAUAGGACUGCAGGGUGGUGCCUGUGGUGGAAAACGAUUUUCUAGUGGUUGGGGAUGAGCUCGCGGCCUAUCAGCUUGUUGGUGGGGUAAUGGCCUACCAAGGCGGCGACGGGUAGCCGGCCUGGGAGGGUGGACGGGCACAUUGGGACUGAGAUACGGCCCAGACUCCUACGGGAGGCAGCAGUGGGGAAUAUUGCACAAUGGGCGGAAGCCUGAUGCAGCGACGCCGCGUGGGGGAUGACGGCCUGCGGGUUGUAAACUCCUUUCGACCGCGAGGAAGCCACCUGGUUGGAAGGGUGGUGACGGUAGUGGUAGAAGAAGCACCGGCUAACUACGU
Molecule: ribosomal RNA, 493 nt
Filed under: uncultured bacterium
Lineage: Bacteria
Description: partial 16S ribosomal RNA
Rfam family: Bacterial small subunit ribosomal RNA
Source: RNAcentral